GAUGAACGCUGGCGGCGUGCCUAAUACAUGCAAGUCGAGCGAACGGACGAGAAGCUUGCUUCUCUGAUGUUAGCGGCGGACGGGUGAGUAACACGUGGAUAACCUACCUAUCAGACUGGGAUAACUUCGGGAAACCGUCGCUAACACCGGAUAAUAUUUUGCACCGCAUGGUUCAAUAGUGAAAGACGGUCUUGCUGUCACUUAUAGAUGGAUCCGCGCUGCAUUAGCUAGUUGGUAAGGUAACGGCUUACCAAGGCAACGAUGCAUAGCCGACCUGAGAGGGGGAUCGGCCACACUGGAACUGAGACACGGUCCAGACGCCUACGGGAGGCAGCAGUAGGGAAUCUUCGGCAAUGGGCGAAAGCCUGACAGAGCAGCGCCGCGUGAGUGAUGAAGGUCUUCGGAUCGUAAAACUCUGUUAUUAGGGAAGAACAGAUGUGUAAGUAACUGUGCACAUCUUGACGGUACCGAAUCAGAAAGCCACGGCUAACUACGUG
RNAcentral lists this ribosomal RNA (497 nucleotides) under uncultured bacterium. RNAcentral describes it as "partial 16S ribosomal RNA". It matches the Rfam family "Bacterial small subunit ribosomal RNA", at positions 28 to 507 of the family's 1533-position model. The record is from RNAcentral.